AAUCAACGCUGGCGGCGUGCCUAACACAUGCAAGUCGAACGCGAAAGGGGAGCAAUCCCUGAGUAGAGUGGCAAACGGGUGAGUAACACGUGGGUGACCUGCCUUCGAGUGGGGGAUAACGUUCCGAAAGGAACGCUAAUACCGCAUGACAUCCUGCUUUUGGAGAAGCGGAGAUCAAAGCUGGGGAUUCGCAAGAACCUAGCGCUUGAAGAGGGGCCCGCGCCUGAUUAGCUAGUUGGUGGGGUAACGGCUCACCAAGGCUUCGAUCAGUAUCCGGCCUGAGAGGGCGGACGGACACACUGGGACUGAGACACGGCCCAGACUCCUACGGGAGGCAGCAGUGGGGAAUUGUUCGCAAUGGGCGCAAGCCUGACGACGCAACGCCGCGUGGAGGAUGAAGAUUUUCGGAUCGUAAACUCCUGUCGAGUGGGAAGAAUAGCUCCCGGGCGAAUAUCCCCGGAAGUCUGACGGUACCACUAAAGGAAGCCCCGGCUAACUCCGUGCCAGCAGCCGCGGUAAUACGGGGGGGGCAAGCGUUGUUCGGAAUUACUGGGCGUAAGGGGCUCGUAGGCGGCCAACUAAGUCAGAUGUGAAUUCCCCAGGCUCAACCUGGGACCUGCAUCUGAUACCUGGUUGGCCUUGAAUCCGGGG
This 651-nucleotide ribosomal RNA is filed under the name uncultured bacterium. RNAcentral's name for it is "bacterial SSU rRNA". It matches the Rfam family "Bacterial small subunit ribosomal RNA", at positions 28 to 654 of the family's 1533-position model. The record is from RNAcentral.